Molecule: RNA transcript, 1118 nt
Organism: Andrographis paniculata
Lineage: Eukaryota; Viridiplantae; Streptophyta; Magnoliopsida; Lamiales; Acanthaceae
Gene name: DNA repair protein XRCC4
Exons: 6
Source: RefSeq, a predicted model, not a curated record
UUCAACAAAGGCCGGAAUUCUCCGACGGAGCACCCUUCGCAAGAUAUUGGAGAGAUCGAACGCCGAAAAAUGGAUAAUCCGAAGCAUACAUGCUUGAAACUGGAAAUGCGGUCAGGGGGCAGUGAGAUUGGGUCCGUGUUCGUGAAGGGAUCGUGGUAUCCGACUCGCUUCGACCUCGCCAUAACUGACGGACUCCAUGCUUGGACUUGCCAAGCUAACGAGGAGGAGGUGAAGGAUAGAGCGUCGAAUUGGGAUCAAACUGUGUCGGAUUACAUCGAUUUGGCCGAGAGGUAUCUAGGGUUUCAGCAGCCUGGAUCGGUUUACGAGUUUUCGGAUGCUGGAAAUGGAUGCAAACGGUUAUCAUGGACAUUUGAGAAGGAAGGUGUAAAACUGGAAUGGCGGUGGAAAUGCCAACCCUCUGCUGAUAGCAAAAGGACUACCGUGGAGAUUCUGGACUUUCUCAUGGAUGCUAAUAUAAAAUUGAGCGAGGAAGUCAUCUGGAAAACUCAAUCGUUUGACAAGCUGAAACAAGAGGCUGAAAAAUGUUUAACACAAAGCGAGAAGCUCAGCAGUGAGAAAGCAGAAUUCGAAUCGUUUUGCUAUGCGAAGUUUGUUAAUGUCCUAAAUUCCAAGAAAGCUAAACUUAGAGAGCUUCGCGAUCGGCUCUCCAAACAAACGACAUCUCCCCCCUUAUCCGACAAGGAAGAGGAGUCCACGGACAAAACAGAGAGCUUCGAUGAAGCAAGUGAUGACGAGGCAGAAAAGGAUAUUGGUGGGUCCUCUAAAGAUGUUCCGGCUAUUAAGGUCUUGUCUAGAAAAAGGAAAUAACCUAUUUUGUCUUCUCUAUUACAGUGUCUCCUAGAAUUAUAGUUUUUUCAGAUUUGCUUUGUUCGGUAGAUUCAUAUCCCAUAUUAUAAAUUAUCCCUCUUUUGAAAACGACGAAUCAGUGUAUAUAUAUAGAUAUGUCAUUGAAGGAUCGUUAGUACUUUACAGCCACAAACAGAUCGAUGAUGACAAUGGGAAUGCAGUCGACAUUUUCAAGGGACAGAGACAUAGAUUCACAGACGUCGAACUCCCAAUGGUACUCGAUUCCAAGACCAGAAAUUCGACAAAAAAGG